This 222-nucleotide ribosomal RNA is filed under the name uncultured bacterium. RNAcentral's name for it is "partial 16S ribosomal RNA". It matches the Rfam family "Bacterial small subunit ribosomal RNA", at positions 100 to 334 of the family's 1533-position model. The record is from RNAcentral.
CGGCACGGGUGAGUAACACGUGAAUAAUCUACCUUCGAGUGGGGAAUAACUGAGAGAAAUCUUAGCUAAUACCGCAUAAUACCUACGGGUCAAAGCAGCAAUGCGCUUGAAGAGGAGUUCGCGGCAGAUUAGUUAGUUGGCGGGGUAAUGGCCCACCAAGACGAUGAUCUGUAUCCGGCCUGAGAGGGCGCACGGACACACUGGAACUGAAACACGGUCCAG